UUGACCUCAAAUCAGGUAAGAAUACCCGCUGA
Molecule: ribosomal RNA, 32 nt
Filed under: Yamadazyma keroseneae
Lineage: Eukaryota; Fungi; Ascomycota; Pichiomycetes; Serinales; Debaryomycetaceae
Description: [Candida] keroseneae partial 26S ribosomal RNA
Source: RNAcentral